CUCAGUGCAGUGGGUAGGGAGCGAAGUGGGGGUCUGUACUCGCCCACCUGGGAUUGACAACAGAGUCCCUGGGACCGACCAGCUGAUCCCCAGCCUCCCUUCCUCUGUGUUGACACUUGGCCUUCGUGCAGGCCCUGCCACCGCCAUCGGCCGACCCAUCCCCCAUCCUCAUCCCUUGCGCUCUCACCCUCUUCUCUCUCUUCAGCUCGGCGUGGGCCAUUUACUGGGCGGAAUUUCUUGAGGGCUCUGUACCUCGGAAGUCUGCUAGACUUCUUUUGUCCGCGGGGCAAGUGCCUAGGGCCCAUCUUAACAUUUAAUUGGGUACUCAAUCUUAAGGCACAGGCUUUUGUUUUAAAGCCCUUUAAAACUUUACAGUGAGAGGCAAGAUAUAAGUUAAGUAUGUUUUGAUUGCUUUAUUAGGAGAGAUCAUUUGUUCCCUACUUACCACCAGUGUUUACUCGGGAAUGAUACAUACUCUGUAGGGAGUUUUAUACGUUAUGGAGCAUGUCACUUCCAUUUUCAUUGGAUUUCACAUAAACUCUGAAAUACACGAGCAUGUAAUCAUCCCAUUUUGUAAGGAACAGGUUUAGAGGGUGAGUUUCUUCUUGAGGUGAGAUGGGGAGCGCAGGGGUUAAAAAGUGGGUUUGGCUGACUUAGAUUUGCCUGUCUGAGCUGCUGUCUAAACUCUGGGAUCUUUCUAAACCUUUCCCCCCAUUUUUUUUGUGAAAAAAGGGUAUUGCUACUUCUGCACAAUGUGGUUGUGAAAAUUAUGUGUGUUAAAGAUAAUGUUUGCAGGGCACCUAACAUAAAAAUUAAUUCCAUUCAGCAGUAUUUAUGGGUGCCUACUGUGUGGUGAGAAUUCAUUGGUGAGCAAAACAGACAUGGCGUUUAUCCACGCACUCCCCGCCUCCCCUUCCCAAAGAGGGAGAGACAGGUUCACCAACAGGAUUAUUCUGCGGCCAUCAUGUCCUGGUUUGCUGAUCUUGCUGGAAAGGCAGAAGAUCUUUUAAACAGAGUUGAUCAAGGGGCUGCAACAGCUCUCAGUAGAAAAGAGAACACCAGCAGCAUCGUUUAUAGCAAAAAUACUGACCAUCCUGAACUUCACCAGCAAAAUACAGAUUUGACUUAUCAGACAGGACCUAAAGCUACUUACAUUUCCUCAGCAGCUGAUAAUAUUAGGAAUCAAAAAGCCACCAUCUUAGCUGGGACUGCAAAUGUGAAACUAGGAUCUAGGACAUCGGUGGAGGCCUCCCAUCCUGUUGAAAAUGCAUCUGUUCCUAGGCCUUCAUCCCAGUUUGUUCGAAGAAAAAAGUCAGAACCUGAUGAUGAGCUGCUGUUUGAUUUUCUUAAUAGUUCACAGAAGGAGCCUACUGGGAAAGUGGAAAUCAAAAAAGAAAGGGGCAAAACACCUGUCUUGCAGAGUUCUCGGACAACAAGCGUCAGUUCUGUGAACGCCAGUGUAACCACCAUCAAAACCUUUGAAGAACAUCCUUCUGGGAGCCAAAGCCACGAAGCCUCUAAUAAUUCAGAUUCUGGCCAUGAAGGCCAAGAGAUUUCUUCAAAGGAAAAUGUAACAUCAAGUGCUGCCUGUGCUGAUCACAACCCAAUGCCUAAAGAUGAUGGGAGAUCACAUGAACUAUCUAAUCUUCGACUGGAGAAUCAACUGCUGAGGAAUGAGGUUCAGUCUUUAAAUCAAGAAAUGGCCUCAUUACUUCAAAGAUCCAAGGAAACUCAAGAGGAAUUAAACAAAGCAAGAGCAAGAGUUGAAAAAUGGAAUGUUGACCAUUCAAAGAGUGAUCGAAUAACUCGAGAACUUCGAGCACAAGUAGAUGACCUGACUGAAGCGGUGGCUGCAAAGGAUUCCCAGCUGGCUGUACUGAAAGUGAGACUGCAAGAAGCUGACCAGCUGCUGAAUACUCGCACAGAAGCACUGGAAGCCUUACAGAGUGAAAAAUCACGAAUAAUGCAGGAUCACAGCGAAGGUAGUAGCCUGCAGAAUCAAGCUCUACAAACUCUUCAGGAGAGAUUGCACGAAGCAGAUGCCACUCUGAAGAGAGAGCAGGAGAGCUAUAAACAAAUGCAGAGCGAGUUUUCUGCACGCCUUAAUAAAAUGGGAGCGGAGCGCCAGAAUUUGGCAGAAGCAGUUACCCUGGCGGAAAGAAAAUACUCAGAUGAGAAGAAGAGAGCGGAUGAACUACAGCAGCAAAUCAAAAUGCUUAAGUCCAACUUGGAGUCCUCUAAGCAGGAAUUAAUUGACUACAAGCAAAAAGCUACUAGAAUACUCCAGUCUAAAGAAAAAUUGAUUAACAGCUUAAAGGAAGGAUCUGGUUUUGAAGGCCUAGAUAGCAGUACUGCAAGUAGCGUGGAACUAGAAGAACUUCGGCAUGAGAAGGAGAUGCACAGGGAGGAAAUACAGAAACUGAUGGGUCAGAUACAUCAGCUGAGAUCUGAAUUACAGGAUAUGGAGGCUCAGCAGGUUAGUGAAGCAGAAUCAGCAAGAGAACAAUUACAGGAUCUGCAAGACCAAAUAGCUGGACAAAAAGCAGCUAAACAGGAACUAGAGGCAGAAUUGGACCGACAGAAGCAGGAAUUCCACUACAUGGAAGAAGAUCUGUAUCGAACAAAGAACACAUUGCAAAGCAGAAUUAAAGAUCGAGAAGAUGAAAUUCAAAAACUCAGGAAUCAGCUUACGAAUAAAACUUUAAGCAAUAGCAGUCAGUCUGAGUUAGAAAAUCGACUCCAUCAGCUGACAGAGACUCUCAUCCAGAAGCAGACCAUGCUGGAGAGUCUCAGCACAGAGAAGAACUCUCUGGUCUUCCAGCUGGAACGCCUUGAGCAGCAAAUGAACUCUGCCACUGGAAGCAGUAGUAAUGGGUCUUCUAUUAACAUGUCUGGAGUUGACAGUGGCGAAGGCACACGUCUGCGAAACGUUCCUGUUCUUUUUAAUGACACAGAAACUAAUCUGGCAGGAAUGUAUGGAAAAGUCCGCAAAGCUGCUAGUUCAAUCGACCAAUUUAGCAUCCGUCUGGGAAUUUUUCUCCGAAGAUACCCCAUAGCACGAGUUUUUGUAAUUAUAUAUAUGGCUUUGCUUCACCUCUGGGUCAUGAUUGUUCUGUUGACUUACACACCAGAAAUGCACCAUGACCAACCACACGGCAAAUGAACUGAGCCUGGUUGUUUUGGUGGUUGGUCGUCUCUCUCCAGUUUUGGGGUCUGCACAAGGGUCACUUGCCUGAAAUUCCUGAGGAGGGUACACAGGAUUAUUUUAUCACUACAAGCUUUUAACUUUUUAAGUUAUUAUACAAGUACUCUGCUACUGAAAUCUUCCUCUGAUUUCCUUCAAAUGGGUCCUUAAAAGAUGGAAGAAGAAAGCAGCAGAGUCAGAGAUGUCAUGACAGCAGAAGUCAGAAUGAUUGAAUUGCUGGCUUUGAAGAUGGAGGAGGGGCCGUGAGCCAAGGAAUGCAGGCAGCCUCUAGAAGCUGGAGAAGGCCAGGAAGCAGAUUCUCCCCUAGAGCCUCCGCAAAGGAAUACAGCCCUGCCAAGACUUUGAUUUGAACCCAGUGAGACCCACUUCAGACUUCUGACCUCCACGACUUUCUCCUGUGUCAGCUUGACUCUCAGGUAGCUACUCCCCAAACAAAGAUGACCACACUGCUUCAGUUCACAUCCUCUCAACCUGACAACCUCAGUGAAAAAGAGUACCACCUCUUCCCCACGGGUCCAGCAAGAGCCCAGGGGGUGAUGUCCAUUGGCUCUGGUUGGACUAACUGAAGACAUAUGCCCACCAAUCCCUGGAGACAGGUGGAUGUAGAUGGCCCCCACAUCCAAACCCCAUGAACCAAAAGAGAGAGGUGGUUGAGAAUCUGCCUGCCAAUGCAGGGGACACGGGUUCGAGCCCUGGUCUGGGAAGAUCCCACGUGCCGCGGAGCAACUGGGCCCAUGAGCCACAACUACUGAGCCUGCGCGUCUGGAGCCUCUGCUCCACAGCAAGAGAGGCCGCGAUAGUGAGAGGCCCGCGCACCCCGAUGAAGAGCGGCCCCCGCUCGCCGCAACUAGAGAAAGCCCUCGCACAGCAACGAAGACCCAACA
Physeter macrocephalus (sperm whale) is the source of this 4089-nucleotide RNA transcript. It is a transcript of the gene named golgin A5, with no coding region annotated. The transcript is spliced from 16 exons. Lineage: Eukaryota; Metazoa; Chordata; Mammalia; Artiodactyla; Physeteridae. The record is from RefSeq and is a predicted model, not a curated record.